GAGUUUGAUCAUGGCUCAGAACGAACGCUGGCGGCAUGCUUAACACAGCAAGUCGAACGAUCUCUUCGGAGAUAGUGGCGGACGGGUGAGUAACGCGUGGGAACCUGCCCCGAGGUACGGAAUAACUCAUGGAAACGUGAGCUAAUACCGUAUGUGACCUGAGGGUGAAAGAUUUAUCGCCUUGGGAGGGGCCCGCGUCGGAUUAGGUAGUUGGUGGGGUAACGGCCUACCAAGCCUGCGAUCCGUAGCUGGUCUGAGAGGAUGAUCAGCCACACUGGAACUUAGACACGGUCCCGACUCCUACGGGAGGCAGCAGUAAGGAAUAUUGCACAAUGGGCGCAAGCCUGAUGCAGCAACGCCGCGUGCUCGAGGAAGGCCUUCGGGUUGUAAAGGGCUUUUCUGGCUGAAGAGGAAGGACAGUAGGCCAGGAAGAAGCGUCGGCUAACUCCGUGCCAGCAGCCGCGGUAAUAC
Molecule: ribosomal RNA, 471 nt
Filed under: uncultured bacterium
Lineage: Bacteria
Description: bacterial SSU rRNA
Rfam family: Bacterial small subunit ribosomal RNA
Source: RNAcentral